RNA transcript from Talpa occidentalis (Iberian mole), 4535 nucleotides. It is a transcript of the gene named golgin subfamily A member 6-like protein 25, with no coding region annotated. The record is from RefSeq and is a predicted model, not a curated record. The transcript has 27 exons. NCBI's taxonomy places the organism in Eukaryota, Metazoa, Chordata, Mammalia, Eulipotyphla, Talpidae.
UCCGGGUGGCCACAGUGCUCUAGAAGCCGCUUUGGAUGCCAGAUUUCCAGACUCGUGGAGCCACAGAGGCCCAGGUCAACUGCGUGUCCUUCCCUGUGAAGAAUUGUGUCUACUUCAUCUCUGCCUCUCACAUUGACUUGGAGCUUUACAGGAAGAGCAAUGGCCCCGGCCCCGAUUAACAAGAGGAAGAGGGAGGAAGCAACAUGCUCCAUCUGCCUGCAGCUGAUGACAGAGCCUGUGAGCUUUGACUGUGGGCAUAGCUUUUGCCACCAGUGCAUAGAGGGCAGCAUUGAGGAGCAACAAGAGAAGUCAGGGGAGCAACCAGGGACAUCAGUGGAGCAACCAGAGAGGAGGAGAUCAAGGUGGAGAUGGGCCUCUGACUACCGUUUGCUUCGGGCAUCAAUGGGUGAGAAAUAUAUGGAGUGUUUAGGUGAAUACAUCAGUGCAGCCCACAGGAAGUUAGAGAGUGAGAAGCUGUGUGAGGAACACGGAGAGCAGCUCCGCCUGUUCUGUGAGGACACCGGGCAGCUCAUCUGCAGUGGCUGUGCACAGUCUCCCCAGCACAGUGGACAUGACCAUGUCCUUGCCAAAGAUUUGCCUCUGCGCUCCAAGGAAAAACUCCAGGAGGCUAAGACAAAACUGAGAGACCUGAGUUGGAAGUUGAAGCCAAGAGAACAAACAACAGAAUGGGAGGACAUGAAAGACUCCUUGGCCACGAGUUCAGUCCCAGAGUCCGUGUCUUCAGAACCUCACACAGACUGCAACAAUUCUGAGCUCCACUGUGAGGAGAGGAAAAAAUUAAAAACCGACGAAGGAGGAGCUUGGGCCUCAGCCCCCGCAGCCAAGAGGAUGAGGAUGGAAGCCACGUGCCCCAUCUGCCAUGAGCUAACAACAGGUCCUGUGAGCUUCUCCUGUGGGCACAGCUGCUGCCGCAGGUAUGCCGGGGGCAGCCUUGAGGAGCAACCAGAGGAAUCAUCGUGGAGCUUGGACUGUCCUUCCUGUCCGGUAGACGUGGAAAUGUACAGAGACCUGCUUAGAACACUAGGCAGCAUUGAAGCCAAACUGGAGCUGGAGUGUGAGAGGCCGUGGGAAGGUCAUGGGGACCAGCCCCACCAGCUCAGUGAGGACACUGGGCAGUUCAUGUGCAGGGGUUCUGCGUGGUCCCCCCAGCAAAGCGGACACAACCAUCUUGUCAAAGAUACGUGUCCAGGCUCUGAGGAAAAACUCCAGGAGGUUGUGACAAAACCGAGGGAACAGGAAGAACAAUGUGACAGUCUGAAGUUGAGCACAGGAGAACAAAUAAGGGAAUGUGAGGAAAAACUCCAGGAGGCUCAGACAAAACUGCAAGAACUAUUAGCUCAGUCUAACAGUCGGAACUUUAAGUCAAGUGAACAAGCAAGAGAACGGGAGGAAAAACUCCAUUUGGAUAAGAAAAAACUGAGAGAUCUGUUAAACCGGUGGUUGAGACUGAAGUUGAAGUUAAGAGAACAGAGGGAGAAAUUGCAGGAGGCUGUGACAAAACUGAGAGACCUGAUAGACCAGUGGUUGAGUCUGAAGUUGAAGUCAAGAGAACAAACAUGUAAAUGUGAGGAAAAACUCCAGGAUUUUAGGACAAAAUGCAGAGACCUGUUAGACCAGUGGUUGAAUGUGGAGUUCAAGUUAAGAAAACAAGAGGAAAAACUCCUGGAGCGUGUGACAAAACUGAGAGACCUGUUAGACCAAUGGUUGAGUCUGGAGUUGAAGUUAAGAGAAUGGAGGGACAAGAAAGGCACCUUGAAAAGAAAUCUGUCCUCUUCGGAGUCUAGGAGUUCAGUCCCAGAGUCCGUGUCUUCGAAGCCUCACACUGGCAGCAACGAUUCUGAGCUCCACUGUGAGGAGAGGAAAAGGUUAAAGACCAACGAAGGAGGAGCCACGGCCUCAAACCCCACAGCCAAGACGUCAGGGGAACAACCAGGGACAUCAGUGGAGCAGCCAGGGACGUCAGGGGAGCAAUCAGCAAGUAGGAGAUGUCCCUUCUACCAUCCUUCAAUUCAGCAAUCAGUUCUUAGGGAGGCUAUGCAGCGUUUAGAUGAAGCCAUCAGUGCAGCCCCGAGGGACUUAGAGGGUGAGAAGCUGUGUGAGAUACACGCAAUGCGGCUCAGCCUGUUCUGUGAGGACACCGGGCAGCUCAUCUGCAAGUUCUGUGCCCGGUUCCGCAAGCACAGAGGACACAAACAUGUCCGCGCCAAAAAUGCCUGUCUGCGCUCCAAGGAAAAACUCCAGGAGGCUGAUACAAAACUGAGGGUACAGGCAGAACAAUGUGACAGUCUGAAGUUGAGCACAGGAGAGCAAACGAGGGAAUUGGAGGAAAAACUCCAGGAGGCUCAGACAAAACUGGGAGAGCUCUCAGCCCAGUCUAAGAGUCGGAAGUUUAAGUCAAGUGAACAAGAAAGAGAACAAGAGGGAAAACUCCAGAAGGCUAGGACAGAACUGCAAGAACUGUUUGCCCAUUCUAAGAGUCAGAAAUUGAAUUCAAGAGAACAGGAGGAAAAACUCCAGGAGGGUGUGACAAAACUGAGAGACCUGUUAGACCAGUGGUUGAGUCUGAAGUUGAAGCUAAGAGAACAGAGGGAGAAAUUGCAGGAGGCUGUGACAAAACUGAGAGACCUGAUAGACCAGUGGUUGAGUCUGAAGUUGAAGUCAAGAGAACAAACAUGUGAAUGUGAGGAAAAACUCCAGGAUUUAAGGACAAAACGGAGAGUGUUAGACCAGUGGUUGAAUCUGGAGUUGAAGAUAAGAGAACAAGAGGAAAAACUCCUGAAGACUAGGACAAUAGUGAGAGAACGUUUAGACCAGUGGUUGAAUCAGAAGGUGAAGUCAAGAGAACAAACAAGAGAACAGGAGGAUGUGAAAGACACCUUGACCAGGAGUUCAGUCCUGGAGUCUGUGUCUUCGGAGCCUCAUACUGACUGCAAUGAAUCUGAGCUCCACAGUGAUGAGAGCAAAAACUUAAAGACCAAUGAAGGGGAACAACCAGGGACAUCAGGGGAGGAUCAAGGGAUGUCAGAUGAGGAUUCAUGCAUGUCAGAUGAGGAUUCAUGGAUGUCAGACGAGGAUUCAUGGAUGUCAGACGAGGAUUCAUGGAUGUCAGACGAGGAUUCAUGGAUGUCAGACGAGGAGUCAUGGAUGUCAGACGAGGAUUUAUGGAUGUCAGAGGAGGAAUCAUGGAAACCAGGUGAGCGUGCCUCUGGAUGAAGACACAGCUCAUGAUAACAUAACUCUGUCUGAGGACCAGACAGAAGUGACUUACAGACAUGUGGGACUCCUGACACGACAUUCUGCUGGAGCAGGUCUCCAGCACGGACACACCGUUGAGAAGCUUCACACUUCUAGGAGGUUCAGCAAGUGACCCGUGUCCUGGGCUAUGAGGGCUUCACCUCAGGGAGACAUUACUUUGCAGUGGACAUGGGAGAAGGAGCUGAGUGUGAUUUGGGAGUUUGUCUGGAGAAUGUGCCCAGGGAUGUAGAAAGGAUGCUGAGCCUCAGUCUGCUUUCUGGGCCAUCAAAUGCACAAACAAUGAUCACAUUCACCUGACUGGUCCUGCACCCUCUCUUCUUCCUCGGGACCCAUGCCAGAUUUGGGGGUCUUUCUGGACUGUGAGGCUGGACAUGACAGCUGGUGCCCACAUAGAAACUUUUGCAUAGGCCUCCUUCCGUGAUACUCUCCAAGCCUUUUACAGGGUUAGUCAUUCUUCUUUAUUCCUGCCUCCACCAGAAACAUAGGAAAAGAGUAAAAUCUUUGGUUUACUCUUGGUUUAACCUUCCUUUAACCCUCAUAGAGAAUAUAAUAGAACCACUUGAAGGCAGAAAUUUCAUUUGCUUUCUUAACUAGAUUUCCCUAUACCUGGAACAGUGCUGAGCUGUCAGUGACUGAUCAAUAAUGAAUCUGCAUGGAGGGCCUCCCAGGUGGCACAGCGGGUUGAGCGCAGCAUUGUGAAGCUGUCCGCACCCUCUGUGGCAUGGGUUCGAUUCCUGGCCAGCCAGGGAGAUACCCACAUGGCACAGCAGACCUCUCCUGAUUUGUCCACUGCUCCCCUCAGCAGUGUUUUCAGGAGUCCACCUUUUCUGCUCCCUGCUCUGUCUCUGGUAAAUUCUGUCACCCUCCCAUGCUUCUUGUCUAUACCCCAGCGCUUGUAUAAAUAAAUAAACCUUUAAAAAAUAAAAAAAUAAAUCUGCAUGGACGAAUGGGUGUGAGAACUCAAAAUGCUACAGAGGACCACCAUGUGAUGGGGGAGAGGAAGAUAAAAGGAUCACACGUCGUCCUCUCCAUCCCUGCUCGGUGGGGUAAGAGGCCUCAUUUCCAAGGGUCCUUCUUUGAGCAGCAGGGAGGCCAGCGGCCUGGAGGGCUGAGUGCUUCCGGGUUAUUUGAUGCCAUUAAAAGAUGUGUGGGGGUUUCUCUUUGUUUUUAUUAUUGUCUCUUUCGCUGUGCAGAAGCUCUUUAAUUUGAUGUAGUCCCAGCUGUUUAUCUUUGCCUUCACUAUCACUGCUUUGGGUGAU